Molecule: ribosomal RNA, 377 nt
Filed under: bacterium
Lineage: Bacteria
Description: bacterial SSU rRNA
Rfam family: Bacterial small subunit ribosomal RNA
Source: RNAcentral
AGCUCUGUUGUUAGGGAAGAACAAGUGCGAGAGUAACUGCUCGCACCUUGACGGUACCUAACCAGAAAGCCACGGCUAACUACGUGCCAGCAGCCGCGGUAAUACGUAGGUGGCAAGCGUUGUCCGGAAUUAUUGGGCGUAAAGGGCUCGCAGGCGGUUUCUUAAGUCUGAUGUGAAAGCCCCCGGCUCAACCGGGGAGGGUCAUUGGAAACUGGGAAACUUGAGUGCAGAAGAGGAGAGUGGAAUUCCACGUGUAGCGGUGAAAUGCGUAGAGAUGUGGAGGAACACCAGUGGCGAAGGCGACUCUCUGGUCUGUAACUGACGCUGAGGAGCGAAAGCGUGGGGAGCGAACAGGAUUAGAUACCCUGGUAGUCCAC